UUUGCAAAGAGACGCCAGCUGGAGCAGACUUGCUUUUGGAGGGCUGCUCCACAGCCAGAGGGCCAGCCUGGGCGUCGGAGGGAGGGUUCGAGGUCCUUAGCUGCCUCAGGAUGGAAGUUGGGGGUUGGAUGUGGGCACAGUGGAUCAGAACUUUUCUGCAAAGUCCCGACUCCGGCCCGUCAGAAGAUUCCUGAAGCCAGUCGAACGGAGAGGACUUUGAAGAUUCCUAGGACCUGGAAGAAGGUGGAGCCAUGAGAUGGAAGGAGCCUGGGGCCCUGAGCUGGAGCAGAGCCUUUCCCAUCGCCGAUGCACAAUGGAGGGGAAAGAUUCCUGACAGACACAAAGGCAUUUUUGCCCUAAGCACUUUCCAAGGGGAAUCCUUCUGAGGGGCCACGGUCGGCGUAUCCUCCUUUGUCACCCGCUGUCUGAGCGCCCAUCACAUGGCACCAUCACCAGGGAGAAGCAGUGAGACGGAACUUGCGCUCCUGGAGCUUCCAGGUGCUGCCCUGACCAGCUUGCUCCUCCUCUGUCUGAUCGCCCUUCGCCGAUAGCUUUGCCUGGCCAAUCCCUACUGCUCUGUACAACCGAUGCCAACUCUUCUGUGAAGCAACCCUCAGCCCCGAUCCAGAUGGCAGAAGUCCCUGCUCCGGGGUCACCAGAUCUCCUUGCAGGUAAGUUGGAGCCACCCCCUUGUGUUCUCCCCGGGGGAAUGGCCAUGAUGCCUGCCACGGCCAGUCGUGCUCACCGCGCCCCUGAUUUCGGGGCUUAUUUGUUAACAUCUGUUCACCUAUCACAGCCCACCCUCUCCUGACUGACACCGGGACGCACCCCUUCCCCUGGGAUCUUGGCCACUGUUACAGCUCACAGCACACACCUUACAUGUCUUCUCCACUGGACUGUCAGCUCCUCUCUGGCUCGGAAUUAGUUUUCAUUCCCUCCCUUGAACCUGCUCAUUCCACACUGCUUGACAUACAGUUGGCACUUAGAAAACAUCUUUUUUUUUUUAAUGUGAAAUAUUGGUUUAAUUUGCAGCCCCCAUACAGAAGAGACGUAAACCGAAGAGAAAAUAAAACUAGACAGCACACGGGGAAGCCAACACUUACAAAAAGGUAAGGGUCCCCAGAGAGUCCAUUCCAGUGAGUAUCUUUUGAAUAAAUGAAAAAUUUCAGGCCCCAUGUGACAGUACGCCCGACGGCCACCUUCGGUUUAGGGGCUGCAACGUCCCCGCCAUGAGCUCAGGAAGCAGCUGACGGAAAGGAUGCGCCCCGGGUGACUGAACCCACGUGACACCGCACUGCCCCUUCCUCCAACUGCGCCCCUGCAAUUUCC
Non-coding RNA from Vicugna pacos (alpaca), 1329 nucleotides. The record is from RefSeq and is a predicted model, not a curated record. Lineage: Eukaryota; Metazoa; Chordata; Mammalia; Artiodactyla; Camelidae.